Chenopodium quinoa (quinoa) is the source of this 596-nucleotide long non-coding RNA. RefSeq lists it as uncharacterized. The record is from RefSeq and is a predicted model, not a curated record. The transcript is spliced from 2 exons. Lineage: Eukaryota; Viridiplantae; Streptophyta; Magnoliopsida; Caryophyllales; Amaranthaceae.
CUUCCCAUGCUAUGAAUUCCAUAAGCCUUCAAAAAAAACCCGACCCGAUCGUCCCGACCCGCUGUCCCGGCAAAUACCCGAUGGGAAUUUUACGAAAAAACCCUGUUUUUUCGGGUCGGGUACCUGACCCUGGAAAACUGCCUUCUAUCCGGGUCGGAAACUGGGCUUGAUUUUUCCAAAAUUGGGUACCCGAUUACCCGAAUUAAAAAUUAAAAAAAAAAAUUCACCCUCAAAAGUCAAAACUCCUCACUUCCUCAAACAGCCCCCUUUCAUGAAAUUAGGGUUAUCAAUCUCCUCUCUCUCUCUUCCUGCACUGUCUUCUUGCCUUCUUCUUCCUUCACAAAUCUUUCCUUCACGAGUUCAAGUUCAAGCAAGUUUAAGCCUUCAGUCUUAGGAAUUAAAGACUUGGUUUUGGAGCAACCAACGAUUAUUAUUGAUGAGACAACUGAAGUUUCGGAUCUCACAAGUGAAUGAAACACGACCUCCAAGCUUAUUUAAUUUGCAUUGUGGCUUUGUUAUAUUAUUGUACUUUGUAUUUGUAAUUUGUAUGUUUGGAAUUAUGUAACUAAUGACUUCCCCUAAACUUUAGCUUUUAA